This is a long non-coding RNA of Chinchilla lanigera (long-tailed chinchilla), 4177 nucleotides long. RefSeq lists it as uncharacterized. The record is from RefSeq and is a predicted model, not a curated record. The transcript has 4 exons. NCBI's taxonomy places the organism in Eukaryota, Metazoa, Chordata, Mammalia, Rodentia, Chinchillidae.
GAGCAGAGCUUUACAUAGAGGUAGAAAAAUUCAUCAUGCAGCAGUUUUGGAGAGAGUAUUUUCUCCCCUUUGUGGUUCCAGAGAGCACGAUACACACCGAAACAUUUGGUGAUGAAAUGUUCUGACAUAAGAGAUUUGUUUCAAAAUUUAUCUGGGGCAGAGAGGGAACAAGACAAGCCAUGAGCUGCAAAUGCUAAAUCUGGUCAUCAAGUUGAAGUAGGUCAACUGGUCUUAUUAACGGCAGAACUGACGUGGUCAUCCAGAAGAUGUAGAUGCAAGAAGCAACUCCAGAACAGCCUUCCAAGGCAGAUAUGUGGAGACCAGCGGAAGCCAGAGGAACUGAGCUGAAACCUGCCUGUAUCUUCCCAACAGGCUGACCUUGAAUAUGCUUUGCUCACUGAGUCUCACAUGCCUUCGAUAAAAUAUGUCUGAAGAAACCUGCUGUUGAGUAUUCUGGGAUUUAAAUGAAUAACAACAUACUUAAGUGCUUAGUAGAGUGCAAAGAUGUAGAAGCUUAAAUUUUUAUUCUUAAACUUUCCUGAAACCCAAAGUGGGGCUCCAUCCUCAUACAUUCUGGGUACAAGUUUUGAAUCUGAUUUUCUGACUGGUAUAGGCAGUAAAUCAAAUCCUUCUACAAAGUAAUCAUUUGGAGAAUUCAUUGCCCAGGAAUUCAGAUGGGUGAUAUCUUGGGCUGUGACCAAUGUCCCAUAGACUGAGUGCUUAAAGCACAAAUGCUUAUUUCUCACAGUGCUGGAGUCUGGAAAGCCCAAGAUGAAAGAGAUGAUAGAUCUCAAAUCUUCUGGAACUUUCUUCCAGGCUUUUAAGUGGCUGUCUUCUUGCUAUCUGUUCACAUGGUGGAGAGAGAAAUGCUGUCUUCUUCUUUUUAUUAAGGCAUUGAUCCCAUCACGAGGGCCUAUCCUUAUUGCCUAAUCUGACCACUUCCCCCAUACUUCACCUCUAACACCAUUAUUCUGGGGGUUAAAUUUUUUGGGGGGGCAGAUAGGACACAUACAUGCAUCUAUGACAGGUGAAUUGGAUGCUUCCACCUGAAUUUGAAGCUCAGACUCAGAAGCCUGGAAACUUUCUCAACAUUUUCUCCAGAUAUGACUCAUACUCAGCAAACAUAUAUCACUGUGGAUCAUGUGGUUUAAGCAGGGUUGCUGGGGAAACUGUCUAGGUAUCAGCACAUAGUAGGUAUUUAUCAAAAAGACUGAAUGAGUGACUGACUGGUGAGAAAUCUCCCAGAGUCCUCAUACUGGGCUGUACUUUAGUUCCACCAAUGCCAGUGUUGCAUAUGUUCCUUUUUCCAGGAUAUUUAGACAGUAGUCCCUCUUCAUUCACAGGGGAUGCAUUCCAACAUCCCCAGUGAUGCCUGAAACCACAAGUAGUACCAAACCCGGUAUAUGCUAUGUUAUUUUCUAUACAUACAUUCCUAUAAGAAAGUUUGUUAUGAAUAAUAAGAGACUAAUAAUAACUAAUAACAUAGAAGUACAACCAUACACUAUAGGACAAGUUAUGUAAGUGUGAUCUCUUUUUCUCUCAUCUUUCUUAGAACAUCUUAAAUUGGAUUCAUCUUUCUUCCUGUGAUACAAAGCAAUGCUUGCAUGAUGGGAUGAGGCGAGGUGAACGAGACAGGCACUUGGGCGUAGUAUUAGGCUGUUACAUAAGGGUUACUUGGACACAAGCACUGCAGUACCACAACAGUCUAUCUGCUAGCUGAGAUGACUACAAAGCAACUAACGGGCAGGUAACGUAUACAGUGUAGACAUGCUUGGCAAAGGGAUGAUUCGCAUCCCAGGUGGGAUGGUGCAAGAUUUCAUCCUGCUACUCAGACUGGUGAAUAAUUUAAAGCUUAUGAAUUUGAAUUUGUGGAAUUUUCCAUCUAAUAUUUUCAGACUGAGGUUGACUAUAUGUAAAUGAAUCCACAGGAAAUGACUACAGUAUUCCCUCUCUGUACCAUGUUACGAUGCUGGCAGAGAGGUCUAAGGGUCCCUUUAGAGGUGGGAUGAAUACCUUCCCGCUUCUCUUGCCCUGCACCCUGGGAAACAGGCAGAAAACUGGGCGAGCCUCUCGCUGUAUUUGUCCAUGAGUAGCUAGCACUCCCCGGAGGGCUCCAGGGCCCAGCUUUCACCGUCAGCCUGCACCGGUGUGGCCCACCCAUCAGGCAGCAGGUGCCAGCUGGCUCCUUGCUAGCCUGUCCCAUCUGCUAGAGGAGGUGGCACAGGAGAGGCUGGGAGAAGCUCUUAAGCUGCAGGGCCAGUCUGUUGCAUAUUACAGGUACACUGGGAGACCACAGAACGCGGUUGUGGGAAGGUUACCUUGCUCUCCCCACGGAAAGGAGCAAGGAAAAUAGACCUUCCCAGUCCCCUUCCUAGAGCAGAUGAUACCCCAAUUCUACCUUUUGGGCAAGCUGCUUACUUGUCUGAGCCUGAAUUUUUCAUCUCUCUGAAAGAUGAAGACCAUGAUAGAAAUUUAUGUUAUUAUUCGUAUUUCAAGUAAACAAGCUACAGGUUAGUUUCUCCUACCCCUCUAAAGCCUGGUGGAUACAAUUUGUUCAAUCUGCUGUAGCUGGUAAGGCAAGCAACAGCUAAGAAUCACAGACCUCCCGCCAAGGUAGGGGCCCAAGGUAAUCCCACCGUGACCGACAGAGGAGGACAGGUUUGCAUGAAUAGUUGCAGGCUAUCUGCUGUUUCCGUUCUCCAAGUUUUCCAGGGACAGGAAACAACAGCAACACAAAUUCUCUUAAGAGCCAGGUAGGUGGUGUAAAUGAGUAGAGCAUGCUAAGGGUUUGUACAGUAAACAUUAGCAAUCCUCCCUUCUAAAAAGACGCUUUCCUCACUUGCUGGUAAAACACACAGUCCUCUGGGUGUAUGUUUUCUUUUCUCACUUUUUGUAGAUUUGGGAGCGCAGAGGAAGGUUUCUGUACUACAAGCAAAACACUAACAUCAAGUGACAACUGUGCAAGGCGCUGGGGAGUAUGCCCUUCAUCCAAAGGGACUGUGCUGUUCUGCUCCAGCCAGGCGCUGAGUCCCUGGUGCAGCCAGAUCAUCUACUCUUUUUAUUUGAAAGAAACUAGAAACCUAGAUUUAAAAAGAAUUUGUUGAAUCUCCUGUUUUUCCUGUAUUUUUUGCCUGCUUCAUUGCUUUGAAUACAUGCCAAGUAGAGCUCACCAGCCUGGCCUGCGGCACGUUCUCCUCCCACCGUACAGUGACUGCUGAUGGGUCCUUGCUGAUUUUUCCAAGGGCAUUCUGGGUAACCAUCCUCCUGCUCUGGGGUCCUCAGUGAUGAGAGGGCCUUGUCACUGGCUUGACUUGGGCCUGGUGCCCAUGGGCAUGCCAGGGGCUGGUGCAGGUUGGGUAGAGGGUUGGUCUCUUUUUUUUGCAUCAGAAUUUCCUUUCCGGGGUCUUUUUGUCACCCUGAGAUAGCAGGUAGGGUGCUGGCUCCUUCUGCAGGCUGCGUCCUGGUAUCUUGCUGGCUAGAGUGGGAAGAGAUGCAAUCCUGGGUCCUGACCCACUUCCUGGGAGAAGUGACAGAGCAGCAGUGUAAGUUAAGCCAUGAGACUUCCGGGAUGGCCCCUCGUUUUACCCAUGCACAGGCCGAGAUGCAGAAAGCCGCAGGGCUUCCUCUGGGCGCACAGUUCAGCAGUGACAGCGAGCGGGUGAGACUGCUGCACAGCAGCUCCCUGCAUCGGCCCCUCCAGGUUUCCUCUGCAGUUCGAGAUUCGAGCUGAGUGUACGACCGAACUUCAGAGCUGAGGCUGAGGGCCUGCGUGAGGCCAAGGGGAACGAAGGGGUGCGUGUGCUUGUGAGGAUUUUGGAGUCUCCUGUUUUCCUUCAAUAUGAACAGAAUUCACCCAAGAUGGAGCCAAAACUUAUUUUGUCAUCAGGGUCUAGGGUCGCCAUGCUCACAGUGCCUACCACAGCCCCGUGGCUGGCAAGUAGGACCUAAGGGCAGACUGGGGUCCGAGAGGGCAAAAUGGUGACAUGGCAGCCAUCUCGCCAUUUUGCACAUGGCAGCUCUUGUUGGUGGCCAGGAGAGCAAACACCAGGGCUGUGUGUGCUUCACCUUCAUGUCUUCACCUUCCCAGCCUUUCCUUCUCUCCUGCUCGCAGAGGACUGAGAUUUCAAUGGGGACUUCUCAACUCGGGUGAAGGAUCGGCUCCCUGGUGCAAUGGACC